GGUAAACUGAACAUUAUACUUUCCCCUUCCUUUCAGCCCAUUACUCUGAAGAAGAACCAAGGCUUCUAAACACUCCUUGCUUAGAAACCAGAGCAGCUUCUUCAGCAAACAUGUCUUGGUCUACAUGUGCCCUGUACUGGGCAUGAAGCUCUCGUGGUGCGUGCAUUCUAGUGAGGGAGUCGACAACCAAUGAACUCCAUUGAACCCCCAACUCCACGGAACCCUCAACUCAGGAGUGGUAGUGAGUGCCCUUGAAGAAAAGUCAAGCAUGGAGCUUUUUCAGAGACUCCUCAGGAAGGACUCAAACACAGACCUGGAUGGAGUGAAGGAAUGAACACUAUCUCUGGGAAGAAGGUUCCAUUCAGGCAGAGGAAAGACCAAUUGCAAAAGCUCUUAGUCAGGAGCAUGCUUGUGCGGUGGCAGCAGGGCCAUUGUGGCCGGAGUGGAGUGAGGGAGCAGGGGCCAGAGCCGAGGGGCAGCUGCAGACUUUCCAGGACUUCUCUCAUUUACACGUUGGACCGACCCCAGAGUAGGAUAAAGGGGCAGGCCAGCCGGGCAGCAGCCUGGGUCGAAAAGGGCACUAAAGGAUUCUGGGGGUAAUUCAGACAUCUGGUGCCCGUGAACUCAGAUUUCUGUCUGUCUCUGGGUGAACUGUAAGUUGGCUCCCAUCCACUGAGAGAUCCUUAACAACUGCUUACCUGGACAGCCUGUCUCCACAAUAAUUUUGCAACAUGCAGGUACAGGCAUAAGCUGCACGAUGUGGUCCUGUGACCAGCUUUCAGUUGCCUAAAGGCAGCAGUCACAGCUGGAAUUCUGAGAAUGCACCAUACCCUGUGAAGUGCCACUCCCUGAGAGAGAUUUAUGCUGUAUCUACAUUUA
Molecule: long non-coding RNA, 879 nt
Organism: Pipistrellus kuhlii (Kuhl's pipistrelle)
Lineage: Eukaryota; Metazoa; Chordata; Mammalia; Chiroptera; Vespertilionidae
Exons: 2
Source: RefSeq, a predicted model, not a curated record